AUGCCUUCAGGGCAGCACAGCUUGCAGCUCUGGGGCUGUCUGAGCAUUCAUCCCCAAGCUCCUGCUCUCCUUCUUCCCUUCUCCAGGGUGGAAGUAAGGGCUAGUAACUCCCUGGGAGGUGUGGAUGGAGGACAACUCGAGGUUGUCCCUUUUUGUCUUGCAGGGGCAGAGUUUCCGUGGGUAAUGGCAUACGCAUCCAUGAAAAGCUGCCACAGGGUCCUGAGGGAUGCCCACGGGGAGUUUUCUCCUCCUGCAUACUGCAGUGAUUCUCCGGUCAACUUCUGGUGCAACUGGACCAUCUGGGCAGGCUCCAGGAAGCAUAUCGUCAUUUACAUCCAGGGCUUUACCACUAAGGAAGGUUGUAACAAGAACGAGGACAAGAUCCUCUUCGAAGGGGUGUCCUCGCUGGUGGAGAACAGCGUGGUUUAUGCCUGCUGGAAGAAGGAGACGCACGUUUUCGCCACCUUUGCUCAGGCUGUCCGUGUGGUGCUGCUGAAGAGGUACGUGCCGAACCGCAGGGACGCACAGUUCAAAGGGAAAUAUUUCACCUUCCAGGAUGAGAAAAGCAGAUCUCCCUCCAGCAGUGCUUCAAUUCCCAGAACUCUAUCUCCAGAGCUUCCCAAACCAGGAGGUGUUUUUGAGCCUGGACAGGCUGAAGGCCCCAGGGACGUGCUGGGCUUGGCGAGCACGGACAGCACCGAGAGCUCUGGUGUGACUGCGGUGCUGCACAACGUGUCCCCACAUGGAAGAGGCCUUGCAGGAAGCCCUGAUGGGCUCAGAGGCACAGAGAUCCCACUCCUGGAAGCAAAAUCUGCUCACGUGCCGGGGCCUGAGCCACCAGCAGGCCCGAGGCCCUGCGAGGAGGAUCAGUGUGGGAGCCCUGCCACGAGUGGAGAUGUCAGAUUUUCAAGUGUGCCUUUGGAAACUCCUCUGCUCAGAGCCUUGCAGGGAGCAGAGUCUUUUCUGCAGCCCACAGAUGUGGGUCAGGAAGGUGAUCUGUCCGUCCUGCAGCCUACCCUGAGGCUGGGAGAUGUGGGCAGCCCCCAGCCCACCAUUAAACCAACACACGCCGCUCACCUGAACGUAGCUGCUCGCUCAUGGGCUCUGUCCACUGGCAGAAGGGAAAGCCAAGGCACUGCUGGUACCACCACGUACCAGGGGCUGGGUGCAGCUGGUUUGGAGGAGGACAAGAGCCAGGAGGAGGACAAAAGCCAUGGAGCAGCGAGGGGUGGUGCUGGUGGUCUUGCGAAGGGCCUGGUGCCAAGUACCAUCUCGCAGCUGCCACCUGAGAGAAGCCAAAGCAAUUUUGAGGGUUUGUCCACAACUCAACCCCACCUGGGAAAGGCCAGCCUCCAGCAUGCGAAGCUGAUGGGUAUUUCUCCCCUGGAAAUAAGGAAAUUCCCCACACCGGCCCUCUCCCACCCUGACCACGUCCCUGCGGGCUUAGGAUCUGGCAAUUUCUCCCCCAGGGAUCCUCUUCCUUCACAAGCAGAGGCUGUUUCCAGGUUGGACUCACCUCCAGCAGCAGCUCUGGGUUUGGGUGCUGUCAGGAGAAGGGCAGGGACCCCACCAGCCAGCCCUGGAGGACAGGAGGAGCUCUCCCCAUCACCACCCCACCACCCAUCAGCAGCCCCCACGCUGGGUGCAGAGGUGUCCCCCGGCCCCCUUGGCCUUGAGAUGAGCAAACGGGUGCUGGAAGAGGGUGGCCAGCGAGAAGAAACCCCAUCUCCUGCAGGAUUUCCAGCCAGAGGUCCCUCUGUGUCCUCCAUCCCCAGGCUGAGGUCUGUCACGGGCCUUCCUUGUCCCCAGCACCAGGUGAGUUGUGGCUGUGGGGUGGCACCUGGGGGGUGA
RNAcentral lists this long non-coding RNA (1851 nucleotides) under Anas platyrhynchos platyrhynchos (common mallard). RNAcentral's name for it is "lncRNA (ENSAPLG00000021520.1)". Lineage: Eukaryota; Metazoa; Chordata; Aves; Anseriformes; Anatidae. The record is from RNAcentral.